RNAcentral lists this ribosomal RNA (918 nucleotides) under Betta midas. RNAcentral describes it as "partial 16S ribosomal RNA". The stretch from base 157 to 658 matches the Rfam family "Bacterial large subunit ribosomal RNA", at positions 573 to 1301 of the family's 2925-position model. The record is from RNAcentral. Lineage: Eukaryota; Metazoa; Chordata; Actinopteri; Anabantiformes; Osphronemidae.
UUAUUAAUACCCCCAAAAGCACUUGAUAUUUAAUUAAACAAACCAUUUUUCCCCCUAAGUAUGGGCGACAGAAAAGAAACAUUCAGAGCAAUAGAAAAGUACCGCAAGGGAAUGCUGAAAAAGAAGUGAAACAACUCAGUAAAGUUUAAAAAAGCAGAGACCAACACUCGUACCUUUUGCAUCAUGAUUUAGUCAGUAAAAACAAGCAAAAGGUACUUUAGUUUGUCUCCCCGAAACUAAGUGAGCUACUCCAAGACAGCCUAAAAUAGGGCUAACCCGUCUCUGUGGCAAAAGAGUGGGGCGAGCUUAGAGUAGAGGUGAUAAACCUACCGAACUUAGUUAUAGCUGGUUGCCUGAGAAAUGAAUAGAAGUUCAGCUUUUUGGUUUCUCCCCUUAACCUGCUUAGCCAUGACCAAGCCAAAGAAACCAAAAAAGUUAAUUAAAGGGGGUACAGCUCCUUUAAACAAGAUACAACUUCACCAGCUGGGUAAAGGCCAUAUACAAUCAAGGUAAAAUGUUUUAGUGGGCCUAAAAGCAGCCACCUAUAAGAAAGCGUCAAAGCUCCUUCAUACCACCACCUCCAAAUUCAGAUAAUGCACCCUAAGCUCGCUAAUCUCAUCAAGCCGCCCCAUGCCAUCAUGGGGGUGUUUAUGCUAAAAUGAGUAAUAAGAAAAGGCACCUUUUCUCCUUGCACUCGUGUAAAUCGAAACGGACCCCCCAUCGAACAUUAAUCGGCCCCAAAAAGAGGGUAAUGAAUUAUCAGCCCCAGUAACAAGAAAAACACCCAAACAUUAACCGUUAAUCUCACACUAAUAUGCUCACAAGGAAAGACUAAAAGAAAAAGAAGGAACUCGGCAAAUACAAGCCUCGCCUGUUUACCAAAAACAUCGCCUCUUGAAAACUAAGCAUAAGAGGUCC